GACGAACGCUGGCGGCGUGCUUAACACAUGCAAGUCGAACGGAAAGGCCCUGCUUUUGUGGGGUGCUCGAGUGGCGAACGGGUGAGUAACACGUGAGUAACCUGCCCUUGACUUUGGGAUAACUUCAGGAAACUGGGGCUAAUACCGGAUAGGAGCUCCUGCUGCAUGGUGGGGGUUGGAAAGUUUCGGCGGUAGGGGAUGGACUCGCGGCUUAUCAGCUUGUUGGUGGGGUAGUGGCUUACCAAGGCUUUGACGGGUAGCCGGCCUGAGAGGGUGACCGGCCACAUUGGGACUGAGAGACGGACCAGACUCCUACGGGAGGCAGCAGUGGGGAAUAUUGCACAAUGGGCGGAAGCCUGAUGCAGCAACGCCGCGUGCGGGAUGACGGCCUUCGGGUUGUAAACCGCUUUCGCCUGUGACGAAGCGUGUGUGACGGUAAUGGGUAAAGAAGCACCGGCUAACUACGUG
This 468-nucleotide ribosomal RNA is filed under the name uncultured bacterium. RNAcentral describes it as "partial 16S ribosomal RNA". It matches the Rfam family "Bacterial small subunit ribosomal RNA", at positions 28 to 507 of the family's 1533-position model. The record is from RNAcentral.